Molecule: non-coding RNA, 1439 nt
Organism: Chlorocebus sabaeus (green monkey)
Lineage: Eukaryota; Metazoa; Chordata; Mammalia; Primates; Cercopithecidae
Source: RefSeq, a predicted model, not a curated record
AUGGUACUGGGCUGGAAAACAGCAAUACAGACAAUUAAGUGUGUUGUUGUGGACGAUGAUGCUGUUGGUAAAACAAGUCUCCUGAUAUCCUACACAACAAACAAAUUUCCAUCGGAACAUGUGCCGACUGUUUUUGACAAUUAUGCAGUCAGUUACGAUUGGUGGAGACCCAUAUACUCUUGGGCUUUUUGAUACUGCAGAGCAAGAGCAUUAUGACAGAUUACUACUACUGAGUUAUCCACAGACAGAUGUAUUUCUAGUCUGUUUUUCAGUGGUCUCUCCACCUUCAUUUGAAAAUGCGAAAGAAAAGUGGGUGCCUGAGAUAACUCACCACUGUCCAAAGACUCCUUUUUUGCUUGUUGGGAUCCAAAUUGGCCUCAGAGAUGACCCCCCUACUAUUGAGAAACUUUCCAAGAACAAACAGAAGCCUAUCACUCCAGAGACUGCUGAAAAGCUGGUCCAUGACCUGAAGACUGUAAGGUAUGUAGAGUGUUCCGCACUCACACAGAAAGGCGUGAAGAAUGUGUUUGACGAAGCAAUGUUGGCUGCCCUGGAGCCUCCAGAACCAAAGAAGAGCCGCAGGUGUGUGCUGCUAUGAACAUCUCUCCAGAGCCCUUUCUGCCCAGCUGGUGUUGGCAUCAUACUAAAAGCAGUGUUUAAAUCAAAAUAAGAUUAAAAAUUAAAGUUCAUUUUUGCAAUAAUGGCAAAUGCCCUGCACCUACCCACAUACACUCACGUGAGACAAGGCCAUAGGUAUGGCCCCUUCCCCCUCCCAGGACUAGGUGACUUUGAGUAAUUGUGUAUUGUCAAAAAAGUGAUUAGUACUAGUUUUUGUUUUGUAGCUUGAAAAAAUAAUUUUUUGUUUGUUUAAAAGCAAGGUGUACAGACUAACAAAUUGUUGAAGCUGCUUCCUGGUUCCACUCUGGAGAGUAAUCUGGGACAUCUUAGUGUUUUGAGUUUUUUUUUUUUCUCCUCUUUUUUUCGAGGAUUGUGUGUGGGGUUUGUUUUUUAGUCUUGUUUUUUUAAAUUCAUUAACCAGUGGAUAGCCCUUAAGGGGAGGAGGAUGGAUUGAUUCCACCUUCCACUUCCUGGAUCUAGUUUAGAAAACAUGUUCCUCAUCUGGUGCUCUUAGGAAGGAGUAGAGUAAAUGCCUCAUUUAGUAACAUGCGGAUUUUUGAAAGUUGCCUUUUCUCUCCACCCUGGAGUAGAUCCAGUAUUGGAUGAAACUCAUGAAAGUGGGUGGAGCCUGUCUUGCCCCUUCUCUUUUCUAGGACACACUAUAUGUGAUUGUGACUUUCAAGGACAUUUGUUUGCCAUUUGCUGAUUUUUUGGGGAAGUUGAUUUCUAACUUCUCUCACUGAUAAAUGAAGAAAAGUAUUGCACCUUUGAAAUACACCAAAUGAAUUGAGUUUGUAAUUUAAAAAAAUUUUUUCCCUGUC